GACGAACGCUGGCGGCGUGCCUAACACAUGCAAGUCGAGCGAUGACGUUUGGUGCUUUCACCAAUUUGUACAGCAGGCAACGGGUGAGUAACGUGUGUGGAGUAUGCCUCUGAGCGGGGGGCGAUAAUGGGAAACGAAUUCUAAUACCGCAUCAUAACUCUCAACAUAAUGGUCACGUUUUAAAGUUGCUAUUUCCUCACUCAAAGACGAUCCCGAGUUGUAUUAGCUAGUUGGUGGGGUAAAGGCACACGAAGCCGAGGAUACAUAGCCGACCCGAGAGGGUGAUCAGCCAAAUUGGGACUGAGACACGGCCCAAACUCCUAGGGGAGGCAGCAGUAGGGGAUCUUCGGCGAUGGACGAAAGUCUGACCGAGCAACGACGCGUGAGUGAAGGAGGUUUUCGGGUCGUAAAACUCUGUUGGUAGAGAAGGACGUUGGUGAGAGUGGAAAGCUCAUCAAGUGACGGUAACUACCCAGAAAGCGACGGCUAACUACGUG
Molecule: ribosomal RNA, 497 nt
Filed under: uncultured bacterium
Lineage: Bacteria
Description: partial 16S ribosomal RNA
Rfam family: Bacterial small subunit ribosomal RNA
Source: RNAcentral